Mauremys reevesii (Reeves's turtle) is the source of this 513-nucleotide long non-coding RNA. RefSeq lists it as uncharacterized. NCBI's taxonomy places the organism in Eukaryota, Metazoa, Chordata, Testudines, Geoemydidae. The transcript is spliced from 3 exons. The record is from RefSeq and is a predicted model, not a curated record.
GACAGGAAACACAGGUUUAAGGCUGUGAAAUCCAGCCUGCAUUAGCCAUAAAGAAUGAGACUUCCUGCUUCUCCCAGGGAGCAGCUGGGAUGCAGGGUUCAUAGAUCCUAAGGCCAGACGAGACCAUUGUGAUUAGCUAGUCUGACCUCCUAUAUAGCACAGGCCAGAGAACUAUCCUAAAAUAAUUCCUAGAGCAGAUCUGUUAGAAAAACAUCCCAUCUUGAUUUAAAAAUUGCCAGCAAUGGAGAAUCUACCACGACCUUGACCAAAAACUUCUCUGAGGUGAAGGUUGAGAGGACGUUCAGCAAUGUAAGGGUGAAAACACGACAGCACUGUUGUAAUCAUCCCUAAAGCAAGCAUUACCAACGCAGGAAAUUCAGAGUCAAGCGUACACUGAAAAGAACCCUAAACACAGUAAGUUGCUGUUCACCAGGGAGAGCAGGGACUCGGUGCCCCAGGUGAUUGCAGGGAGGAGGUAUCUGCGCAGUCCCACUGCAGGCUGGGCUGCUUGAG